RNAcentral lists this ribosomal RNA (510 nucleotides) under uncultured bacterium. Its description in RNAcentral is "partial 16S ribosomal RNA". It matches the Rfam family "Bacterial small subunit ribosomal RNA", at positions 28 to 507 of the family's 1533-position model. The record is from RNAcentral.
GACGAACGCUGGCGGCGUGCUUAACACAUGCAAGUCGAACGAAGAGCGAUGGAAGCUUGCUUCUAUCAAUCUUAGUGGCGAACGGGUGAGUAACGCGUAAUCAACCUGCCCUUCAGAGGGGGACAACAGUUGGAAACGACUGCUAAUACCGCAUACGAUCUAAUCUCGGCAUCGAGGAUAGAUGAAAGGUGGCCUCUACAUGUAAGCUAUCACUGAAGGAGGGGAUUGCGUCUGAUUAGCUAGUUGGAGGGGUAACGGCCCACCAAGGCGAUGAUCAGUAGCCGGUCUGAGAGGAUGAACGGCCACAUUGGGACUGAGACACGGCCCAGACUCCUACGGGAGGCAGCAGGGGGGAAUCUUCCGCAAUGGACGAAAGUCUGACGGAGCAACGCCGCGUGAGUGAUGACGGCCGUCGGGUUGUAAAGCUCUGUUAAUCGGGACGAAAGGCCUUCUUGCGAAUAGUGAGAAGGAUUGACGGUACCGGAAUAGAAAGCCACGGCUAACUACGUG